UAGCUCAGUGGAUAGAGCGUCAGCCUGGGGACUGAAGGGUCCUGGGUUCAAUUCCCGG
This 58-nucleotide transfer RNA is filed under the name Myotis lucifugus (little brown bat). Lineage: Eukaryota; Metazoa; Chordata; Mammalia; Chiroptera; Vespertilionidae. The record is from Rfam by way of RNAcentral.